This 79-nucleotide transfer RNA is filed under the name Aigarchaeota archaeon. RNAcentral describes it as "tRNA-Glu". It matches the Rfam family "tRNA". From Rfam's summary of the family: Transfer RNA (tRNA) molecules are approximately 80 nucleotides in length. Lineage: Archaea; Thermoproteati; Nitrososphaerota. The record is from RNAcentral.
GCUCCGGUAGUAUAGCCCGGUUAAGUAUGCCGGCCUCUCGAGCCGGCGGUCGCGGGUUCAAAUCCCGCCCGGAGCACCA